This is a non-coding RNA of Pelobates cultripes (western spadefoot toad), 546 nucleotides long. The record is from the annotation of a GenBank genome assembly. NCBI's taxonomy places the organism in Eukaryota, Metazoa, Chordata, Amphibia, Anura, Pelobatidae.
AAUUCAAUGGACGCAGAUGAUUGGGUGUAUAUAGCUGGAUGCUAUGUAGCUAUCACUCCCAAUCUUACACUGAGGGAUAAUUUAUAUCAAACACAUGUAGAUUAGGAUUGGAUAUUGUAUUUCCCAGUGGGUUUAUGUAAUUUAUCUAGUAUAGUCUUAUUACAUGAGGGAAUAAGCGUGUUAUACAGGCUGUGUGUUUUUAAAAUACAAUGAAAUUACAGUCACAAGUUGGUAAUAAAACGGUAAAACUUUACAGCCAAUUGGUUUAAGAUUUAAACUGUGCUAUUGAGUCUGCUGUAGCUCAUAUCAUAUUGUGUUACACCUCGUAUUAUAUUGAGCAAUUAGAAGUGCGAAACACUGUAUCACAGAGUCAGAGUGGGGUUAUUAGCCAAUGAAAUCAAUGAUUUCUUUGGUUUCCAUGGUGAUUGCUCUAACAUUGGGACGUUGCAUCACUUUUUUUUCAUUAGACCUUGAUAAAUCUCCCAUAAUUAGCUCACUCGUUAGAUUGAGAAUUGUGGAGGGCUGACACAUGAAGUCGCACAUAUU